Molecule: transfer RNA, 73 nt
Rfam family: tRNA
About the family: Transfer RNA (tRNA) molecules are approximately 80 nucleotides in length. Their secondary structure includes four short double-helical elements and three loops (D, anti-codon, and T loops).
Source: Rfam
GGGCCGGUAGUUCAGCGGUAUGAACGUCCGCUUGGCAUGCGGAAGGUCGCGGGUUCAAAUCCCGCCCGGUCCA